RNAcentral lists this ribosomal RNA (913 nucleotides) under uncultured bacterium. RNAcentral describes it as "bacterial SSU rRNA". It matches the Rfam family "Bacterial small subunit ribosomal RNA", at positions 8 to 916 of the family's 1533-position model. The record is from RNAcentral.
AGAGUUUGAUCAUGGCUCAGAUUGAACGCUGGCGGCAGGCCUAACACAUGCAAGUCGAGCGGAUGAGGGGUGCUUGCACCCCGAUUCAGCGGCGGACGGGUGAGUAAUGCCUAGGAAUCUGCCCGAUAGUGGGGGACAACGUUUCGAAAGGAACGCUAAUACCGCAUACGUCCUACGGGAGAAAGUGGGGGCUCUUCGGACCUCACGCUAUCGGAUGAGCCUAGGUCGGAUUAGCUAGUUGGUGGGGUAAAGGCCCACCAAGGCGACGAUCCGUAACUGGUCUGAGAGGAUGAUCAGUCACACUGGAACUGAGACACGGUCCAGACUCCUACGGGAGGCAGCAGUGGGGAAUAUUGGACAAUGGGCGAAAGCCUGAUCCAGCCAUGCCGCGUGUGUGAAGAAGGUCUUCGGAUUGUAAAGCACUUUAAGUCGGGAGGAAGGGCUGUAGGUUAAUACCCUGCGGUUUUGACGUUACCGACAGAAUAAGCACCGGCUAACUUCGUGCCAGCAGCCGCGGUAAUACGAAGGGUGCAAGCGUUAAUCGGAAUUACUGGGCGUAAAGCGCGCGUAGGUGGUUAGGUAAGUUGGAUGUGAAAGCCCCGGGCUCAACCUGGGAACUGCAUCCAAAACUGCCUGACUAGAGUACGGUAGAGGGUGGUGGAAUUUCCUGUGUAGCGGUGAAAUGCGUAGAUAUAGGAAGGAACACCAGUGGCGAAGGCGACCACCUGGACUGAUACUGACACUGAGGUGCGAAAGCGUGGGGAGCAAACAGGAUUAGAUACCCUGGUAGUCCACGCCGUAAACGAUGUCGACUAGCCGUUGGGCUCCUUGAGAGCUUAGUGGCGCAGCUAACGCAUUAAGUCGACCGCCUGGGGAGUACGGCCGCAAGGUUAAAACUCAAAUGAAUUGACGG